AGUGAACGCUGGCGGUAGGCCUAACACAUGCAAGUCGAACGGCAGCACAGUAAGAGCUUGCUCUUACGGGUGGCGGGUGGCGGACGGGUGAGGAAUACAUCGGAAUCUACUUUUUCGUGGGGGAUAACGUAGGGAAACUUACGCUAAUACCGCAUACGACCUACGGGUGAAAGCAGGGGAUCUUCGGACCUUGCGCGAUUGAAUGAGCCGAUGUCGGAUUAGCUAGUUGGCGGGGUAAAGGCCCACCAAGGCGACGACCCGUAGCUGGUCUGAGAGGAUGAUCAGCCACACUGGAACUGAGACACGGUCCAGACUCCUACGGGAGGCAGCAGUGGGGAAUAUUGGACAAUGGGCGCAAGCCUGAUCCAGCCAUACCGCGUGGGUGAAGAAGGCCUUCGGGUUGUAAAGCCCUUUUGUUGGGAAAGAAAAGCAGCAGGUUAAUACCCCGCUGUUCUGACGGUACCCAAAGAAUAAGCACCGGCUAACUUCGUG
This 492-nucleotide ribosomal RNA is filed under the name uncultured bacterium. RNAcentral describes it as "partial 16S ribosomal RNA". It matches the Rfam family "Bacterial small subunit ribosomal RNA", at positions 29 to 507 of the family's 1533-position model. The record is from RNAcentral.